GAUGAACGCUGGCGGCGUGCCUAACACAUGCAAGUCGAGCGCCCCGCAAGGGGAGCGGCGGACGGGUGAGUAACGCGUGGGAACGUGCCUCUUGCUACGGAAUAGCCUCGGGAAACUGGGAGUAAUACCGUAUGUGCCCUACGGGGGAAAGAUUUAUCGGCAAGAGAUCGGCCCGCGUUGGAUUAGGUAGUUGGUGGGGUAAUGGCCUACCAAGCCGACGAUCCAUAGCUGGUUUGAGAGGAUGAUCAGCCACACUGGGACUGAGACACGGCCCAGACUCCUACGGGAGGCAGCAGUGGGGAAUCUUAGACAAUGGGCGCAAGCCUGAUCUAGCCAUGCCGCGUGAGCGAUGAAGGCCUUAGGGUUGUAAAGCUCUUUCGUGGGGGAAGAUAAUGACUGUACCCCAAGAAGAAGCCCCGGCUAACUCCGUGCCAGCCGCCGCGGUAA
This 447-nucleotide ribosomal RNA is filed under the name uncultured bacterium. RNAcentral describes it as "partial 16S ribosomal RNA". It matches the Rfam family "Bacterial small subunit ribosomal RNA", at positions 28 to 523 of the family's 1533-position model. The record is from RNAcentral.